RNAcentral lists this ribosomal RNA (264 nucleotides) under uncultured bacterium. RNAcentral's name for it is "partial small subunit ribosomal RNA". It matches the Rfam family "Bacterial small subunit ribosomal RNA", at positions 26 to 285 of the family's 1533-position model. The record is from RNAcentral.
AGGAUGAACGCUGGCGGCGUGCUUAACACAUGCAAGUCGAACGGUGAAGUGAGGAGCUUGCUCCUUGCGGAUCAGUGGCGAACGGGUGAGUAACACGUGAGUAACCUGCCCUUGACUCUGGGAUAAGCGUUGGAAACGACGUCUAAUACCGGAUACGACCUCCGAAGGCAUCUUCUGGAGGUGGAAAGAAUUUUCGGUCAAGGAUGGACUCGCGGCCUAUCAGCUAGUUGGUGAGGUAAUGGCCCACCAAGGCGACGACGGGUA